This 1763-nucleotide ribosomal RNA is filed under the name Pygovepres vaccinicola. RNAcentral describes it as "partial large subunit ribosomal RNA". It matches the Rfam family "Eukaryotic large subunit ribosomal RNA", at positions 328 to 1846 of the family's 3401-position model. The record is from RNAcentral. Lineage: Eukaryota; Metazoa; Arthropoda; Insecta; Hemiptera; Miridae.
ACGAGACCGAUAGCGAACAAGUACCGUGAGGGAAAGUUGAAAAGAACUUUGAAGAGAGAGUUCAAGAGUACGUGAAACCGCUCAGGGGUAAACGGAAAAGACCCGAAAUUUCCGAAAAGGGAGAUUCACGUCUUCUCGCGGGUUCAACGCAUCCGCUCCUCUCCGACGGCCCUGCUCCCGCCCGGACUCGUCCGGCGCGUGGUGGUGGGGUUGCAGAGGGCGGUGUGGAGGCCUGCGGCGGACCGCACUUCUCCCUUAGUAGGACGUCGUGACCCGUCCGGUCAUGGUCAUAAGGUCGCAGGGUGGAGCCUGUCCGUUCGUGCUUGCACGUUUUCGAGCAGACCCCCGCGUCCCGGCCAUGAUAUCCCCGGUCGGUAACGAAUGACAGUGUUCGGCCGCUCACCGGUGGAGGAAACUCCUUCCAGCGAGCGCGAUCGUAGCCCUUGACAAGCUGCCGGGUUCGUCAGUCAAGGCGGGCUUCCGUCCGUCUGGCUGCGCUCGGUCCUGUUGGUCAGGGUGCCCUUUCGCUCGGCUUAUUUACACUUGUCUACGGCGAAUCAGUUUUGGGCUCUUGUCCGACCCGUCUUGAAACACGGACCAAGGAGUUCAGCGUGUACGCGAGUCAUUGGGUUGUUCAAACCCAAAGGCGAAAUGAAAGUGAAGGGAACUUUACGUUUCUGAGGGAUGAUGAGUCGGUUACCCGCAAGGGGCUGCUCCGCACUCCCGGGGCGUCUCUUUCUCAUUGCGAGUGGAGGCGCACCCAGAGCGUACACGCUGAUACCCGAAAGAUGGUGAACUAUGCCUGGCCAGGACGAAGCCAGGGGAAACCCUGGUGGAGGUCCGCAGCGAUUCUGACGUGCAAAUCGAUCGUCGGAGCUGGGUAUAGGGGCGAAAGACCAAUCGAACCAUCUAGUAGCUGGUUCCCUCCGAAGUUUCCCUCAGGAUAGCUUGCGCUCAUGUGAACGAGUCUCAUCCGGUAGAGCGAAUGAUUAGAGGCCUUGGGGUCGAAACGACCUCAACCUAUUCUCAAACUCCAAAUAGAUGAGAACUCCGGCUUUCUUGAAUUUUUUUUUUUGAAGCCGGGGGCUCGGAUCAGAAAUCCGCUAAGGAGUGUGUAACAACUCACCUGCCGAAGCAACUAGCCCUGAAAAUGGAUGGCGCUGUAGCGUCGUGCCUAUACUCGACCGUCAACGGCAAAAGAUGGCUGGCGGGCAACCGUCGGCCGUUACGCCUUGACGAGUAGGAGGGCCGCGGCGAUGUGCGUAGAAGGGUCUGGGCGUGAGCCUGCCUGGAGCCGUCGUCGGUGCAGAUCUUGGUGGUAGUAGCAAAUACUCCAGCGAGGCCCUGGAGGACUGAUGUGGAGAAGGGUUUCUUGUGAACAGCUGUUGCACAAGAGUCAGUCGGUCCUAAGCCCUAGGAGAAAUCCGAAGCGAUGGGUUGCCGUGAAACCACCAUUGUGUAAAAGCUGGCACCCGUUUGGGCGAAAGGGAAUCCGGUUCCUAUUCCGGAACCUGGCAGUGGAACCGUUCCAAUUCGGGCCCUCUGAGGACUCGUCAGGGCAACCUGAAUAGACCCGGAGACGCCGACAGGAGAUUGGGGGAGAGUUGUCUCUUCUCUAUAAGCGAUCGAGUUCCCUGGAAACUUCUAGCAAGGAGAUAGGGUUUGGAUCGCGAAGAGCACUGCAGUUACGGCAGUGUCCCAAUCUUCCUCUCGGACCUUGAAAAUCCGGGUGAGGGCCACGAGGAACCCCACGCCAGACCGUA